Molecule: ribosomal RNA, 408 nt
Filed under: uncultured bacterium
Lineage: Bacteria
Description: partial 16S ribosomal RNA
Rfam family: Bacterial small subunit ribosomal RNA
Source: RNAcentral
GACGAACGCUGGCGGCGUGCUUAACACAUGCAAGUCGAACGAAGUGGCGAACGGGUGAGUAAUACGUGGGUAACCUGCCCUCCUUUUUGGGAUAAGCCUUGGAAACGGGGUCUAAUACCGAAAAGAGGGGGAUGGGCUCGCGGCCUAUCAGCGUGUUGGUGGGGUGAUGGCCUACCAAGGCGGUGACGGGUAGCAGGCCUGAGAGGCUGACCGGCCACAUGGGGACUGAGAUACGGCCAAGACUCCUACGGGAGGCAGAAGUGGGGGAUAUUGCACAAUGGGCGAAAGACUGAUGCGGCGACGACGCGUGGGGGAUGAAGGCUUUCGGGUUGUAAACCUCUUUCGCUAUCGGACGGGUAUGUGGAGAAGAAGCGGCGGCUAACUACGUGCCAGCAGCCGCGGUAAUUC